GUUGAACGCUGGCGGCAUGCUUUACACAUGCAAGUCGAACGGUAACAGGUUAAGCUGACGAGUGGCGAACGGGUGAGUAAUGCAUGGGAAUGUGCCCGGUCGUGGGGGAUAACGCAGCGAAAGUUGCGCUAAUACCGCAUACGAUCUGAGGAUGAAAGCGGGGGACCGAAAGGCCGCGCGCGCUCGGAGCUGCCGAUGUGAGAUUAGGUAGUAGGUGGGGUAAAGGCUCACCUAGACAACGAUCUGUAGCUGGUCUGAGAGGACGACCAGCCACACUGGGACUGAGACACGGCCCAGACUCCUACGGGAGGCAGCAGUGGGGAAUUUUGGACAAUGGGCGAAAGCCUGAUCCAGCAAUGCCGCGUGCAGGAAGAAGGCCUUCGGGUUGUAAACUGCUUUUGUCCGGAGCGAAAAGAUCUCCUCUAAUACAGGGGGCUCAUGACGGUACCGUAAGAAUAAGCACCGGCUAACUACGUGCCAGCCGCCGCGGUAA
This 493-nucleotide ribosomal RNA is filed under the name uncultured bacterium. RNAcentral's name for it is "partial 16S ribosomal RNA". It matches the Rfam family "Bacterial small subunit ribosomal RNA", at positions 28 to 523 of the family's 1533-position model. The record is from RNAcentral.